Molecule: long non-coding RNA, 11126 nt
Filed under: Ananas comosus (pineapple)
Lineage: Eukaryota; Viridiplantae; Streptophyta; Magnoliopsida; Poales; Bromeliaceae
Description: long non-coding RNA (ACOM_LNC039156)
Source: RNAcentral
GUCACGUCCCGCUAUCGCCAAUUUGGUCGAUCCGGGCCCGUACACAGACGCCGAACGAACAGCACCUCCCCUGUUCGUCCAAGGCUAAACCACAACGAGUACAUGUAUAAAGAAAUAAACAAUUCCCAGGAUCACAUUUCAAUAUACAUGGCUUGCUCGAAGGCAAGCAACAAACACAAGUGAUAGUAAAGUAACUGAACAAUGAAAUUCACUGUAAUUUAAAACUUUACAUAACUGAAAUAUUUAGUUAUUUACAUGUUGUAUAUACAUCAAAAUGGUAACCACUAAACUCUGGUGUCGGCUAACUAAGCUGCAGGGCCCUUGCCACGAUCCUCGGCAACAGCACUCGUACUGGAACCUGUAAGGUUAGUGGUGUGAGAACUACGAGAAAGUUCCCAGUGGGUUCGGCCGCCGACCUCGCCGACUCACCCACUAGGUCUAAUCAGGCAUAUGUAGGCAAAGAAAGUAAAGCAGAUAGUAACCAACUAGAUAUGUAACUACUACAAUGCCUGUACAAAGCUGAAAGAAAGCAAUAUAUAUGAAAACUGUAAAUAUGCAUGCAUGCUUUUCAUUAACUUUACCCAAUCUUUUGGUUAACCCUUUGGUUAACAAUUACUCACUGACACUAUCCCAAAUAUCGGGGAGACGCAACCUGCACCCGACGGGACUGUCAACUGGGGGAGACGCAACCUCCUGGUCCAGUACAGAUGACUACUCCGGAGCUCAUCGUUCAAGGAGGAGCGACCUCACUUGAACCAAACGAUUGUGAGUAUGAUCUGAUCCCCCUUUAGAGGAUUCAACUGACAAACACUGUCACACUUUACUCUAACUAGCUCUAUAUGCUAGUUUCACAAUUCAUAUCUCAAUACUAACCAAAUCUCUAGUCAUAUGUCACCAGGUUCACUAUUGUCAUAGUCCAAUGCAUUCAUAGGGUUAGAUAUUCACAUUCUAUGUUCAUACAUUUACAAGGUUGAUACACAAUUGCAUAAUCAAUAUUCUUUACAUACUCUCAAUGCCCUAUAAUGCAUGAAUUCAUUGUAAGUAGACAAUUAUGCUCAAUGAAAUAUUUUAGACAUAAAAAGUGAUUCAGAGAUUUCGGAUAGCACCACCCACCUGUAGUGGUGUAAACAACUAGAAUCCACGUCUCGAAACGUGUCGACAAUUAGCUCUCGCGACUCGGUGUAAAUAGAACUAGAACGGUCUUUACCGUAAUUAGCGCGUCGCCGACCUGUCGGAAUGUCACUUUAGACUUUCGAGCAUAUUUAACUUUCAUUUGUAAAGAUUUAAAAGAGGUUAAACUAGAGUUACAUUCACAUUUUAACAAAACUUGCAUUUCAACUUCAAUCUGCUUAUGUGUUAAGGCACAUGUAAAUUAGCAUACAUGUGUACAUGUAAUUGCUAAUACUUCGGCCAAUCAGUAACUCCAUUGAUCCAACUUUUAAUAAAGUAGUCAUUUCACUUCUAUAAAUUAGAUGCUCCACUAGCUUCUUCUCAGCUUACUAAUAAUUAGAACCCAAUGUUGAAAUUUAAUUUACUUAACCUUCCUAUGAUAUAAUUAAACUACUCCAUUUAGAAUUUUUGGAAGCAUCAUGGUUCAAGUUUUAUUCUUAAUCACAUAAACCAGGAAUUGAGUUCAUUUUACCUCAAUUUCUGAGCUCCUCUAGCUCAAUUAACUAGCAGCUAUCAACAUCAAGAAUCUUCAAUGCUGAAUUUCAGCAUUGGAGCUUCACAGUUUUCCGAAUAGAUUGGAUGCUGUUUCAGUUUGAGUUACUUAAAAUCAGUCUCACUUAACCCCUAACUCACACAUUAACUAAGCUAUAUAUAGUUUGCCAUUGAUCCUGGUAAUUCUACAAACUGAAUUGACUAUAGCUUAACUUCCUUAUGUAAUGGCUAGCAUCAAUUCCAUUUAGGAUUUUCUGUUGUUCAUAUUGCAGGUAAAGAGAUCCUGGUUCUCUUAGAUAGGAAUAUCAGCUUAUUCCUAAGUGUAUUGUCACUAAUACAUAGUUCUUAAUUAUCAACCUACAAGGCUGAUUUUGGGUUACCAUCAGCUCAAUAAUCAUGCCUCACCCAAAUUAGCCUCUUAAUAGGAUAACUAAUUGAUUCAUAAUCAGAAUUUGAGCAAUUUCUUUACCUUGAAGCAGCAAUUUCAACAAUACUUCUCAAUUCCUCUCUUCACUGAGGUUUGGUUCAGCUCUAGCAGCAGAAACAAGGUUCUUUAGCUGCUCUCUUUGCUCUAAUAGCCCCAACAUCAGUCAACAACUCAAUUAUUAGCUUGGUUUACAAUUUUGAAUCUUACUUAAACCAGGGAGGAAUAUUAUUCUUACCAGAAACUGAACCCAAAUCCUUUUCUCUGCUGAUUUCUUGUUUAAACACUCAAUCCGACCAUACUUCUCAAAUCUGUUAACUCAAACAGCAGGAACUCUUAAUUUGAUCCCUUCUAAGGCAACAAAUUUGAUUGUAAUUCACUAUAGAAUGGACUUACUUUAAUUUGAUGCUAAAUUGGCCUGCUCACUGCAUCAAAUAGUCCACCCUUGCAUUUCGGCAGCACCAAGAACACACCAACUUGAUUUCAGCUCCCAAAUCUGAAAUUUCAGCAUUCUAAUACUAUAAACUUAAUCCCUUUGUAGUUGUAAUUAAUUCUCAGCUGAGGGGCAAGUUGCUUACCUUAAUUAAGUGUUACGCCAGGUUACUUCAACUCCAAUAGCAUCCUCUCUCAGCUCGGCCACUCCACCAAGCCGAAGACACCAAGUCGGCCAAUCCUAAUCAGCUCUCAAGUCCUGACAGCAAGAGUUCUUCCUUUAACUCUUCUCUAAGUAGCUAGCUUCAAUAUAAAUCAGGUAAGGAUUUAACUUACUUUAAUUUUUGAAGCUUCUCCAAUUAACUCCCUGCUUGAAUCAGGUCUCACAACCUCAGCCUACAAAUCCCCAAGCUGCCCACAUCAAACUCCUCGACUCUUUCUUAGUCUAGAGAGAGAAGGAGAAGGAAAAUGGAUGAAAGAAAAGAAGGGAAAUAGAAUUUCUGCACUUUGGACAGGUGUAUUCCACCAGGGGUGAACUGAUAAGGCUGGAAAAUGCAGCUUAGCCCCUGGAAUUUGCAAAAAUGCAUUGCAACCUGCAGAUUUACAUUUCAGUCCCUGCAGUCUCGCAAUUCAGUCCCUGCUGGCAGCAGCAGCAGCAGAUGAUCUAAUCCCUUGUUUCUCAUAUUUAAUUCACUUCGAUUUCAUUCGAACACAUCCAAAAUCAUCCAAGGAAGCUUCCCAAGCUAUCAAAUUAAUUUGGGAGCAAUUAAUUCCCAAUUUGGCAUCAAUUUGAUCAUUUUUUGACCCAAUCGACUAAAAUUUCAGCUUUCAAGUAGCAAUGGCAAUUGGGUGUCUUUAGCCACUCCAAUUCCAUUCUUAUCUAUUCCCACAUCUCCAACACCUUUCACUUGAUGUUCCCAAGCUACUAGUCAAGUUUAGAAGCCUUUAACUUCCAUUUUAGCAUUAUUGUGACCAAUUUUAUCACAAUUGGCCUAAGCUGAAUUUUCAGCCUAUUACAAUCUCCCCUCCUUUAAUAGUUUCGUCCUCGAAACUUAAAUACAUACCUCAAGUUUCCUGGUUGAAUAGAUGGGGAUAGGAUGCACGCAUAGCCUCCUCCAAUUCCCACGUUGCCUCUCGUCCUGAAUGAUUGCUCCAUUGCACUUUCACAUAGGGAAUAGUGCGAUUUCGCAAUUCCUUCACUUCGCGAUCCAAAAUACAUAUUGGGUAUUCUUCAUAAGUCAUAUUCUCCUGCAAAUCCACUGGUUCGAACUCUAGAACAUGCCCUGAAUGAUGCACAUAUUUUCGGAGAUUCGAAACAUGAAAUACAUUGUGUAUUCCUUCAAACUUCGGCGGUAAAGCCAAUCGAUAAGCUACUGCUCCCACUCGCUCUAGAAUCUCGUAAGGUCCAAUGUAUCGAGGACUAAGCUUCCCUCGAACACCAAAUCUCUUUAUCCCGCGCAUUGGCGAUACUUUCAAGAACACCUUAUCGCCAACCGCAAACUCCAAGUUCUUUCGGCGCUUAUUGGCAUAACUUUGUUGCCGUGACUGGGCCGUCAACAAUCUCUGGCGGACUAGGCGUACCUUUUCCUCCGCCUCUUGGAGUACAUCAGGACCAAGAACCAUUCUUUCUCCUACUUCACUCCAAUGGAUAGGGGAUCGACACUUUCUCCCGUAGAGAGCUUCAAACGGUGCCAUUGCGAUGCUUUCCUGAUAACUAUUAUUAUAUGCAAACUCAGCCAUUGCUAAGGAAUCAUGCCAACUCCCUCUGAAGUCAAGUACACACGCACGUAGCAUGUCCUCCAAAAUCUGAAUCGUUCUCUCAGACUGUCCAUCGGUCUGAGGAUGAAAAGCUGUACUAAAAUCAAGACGUGUGCCAAGAGCAUCCUGUAAACUCCUCCAGAAGUGGGAUGUAAACCGCGGGUCUCGAUCAGAUACAAUCGACGUCGGGACUCCGUGUAAUCUCACAAUCUCGUCGAGGUACACCUGUGCCAACUUGUCCCCUGACCAAGUAACAUGAAUCGGCAAGAAAUGCGCCGAUUUCGUCAAUCGAUCAACAAUCACCCAAAUGGUAUCAUGUCCAGCCUGUGAUCGAGGUAAUCCAACAACGAAGUCCAUCGCAAUGUUCUCCCACUUCCAAACUGGAAUAGGCAAGCUCUGUAACUUUCCUGCGGGAAAUCUGCGCUCAGCUUUAACUUGCUGACAAGUCAAACACUGCGCUACAAACUGCCCAACAUCCUUCUUCAUUCCAGGCCACCAAUAAUGCACUUUAAGAUCUUUGUACAUCUUAGUGCCACCUGGAUGUACACUAUAAGGUGACUGAUGAGCUUCCUGUAGCAUAGCCCUCUGAACCUCCUCGUCUUUAGGUACGCACAACCGGUUACGAAACCGAAGUGCACCGUCAGAUCCCACUGUAAAAUCAUCCCCUCGCCCGUUCUCAGCUUCACACCGUACUUUUUGGAGAUACGGAUCUAAAGACUGCCGAUCUUUAAUCUGUUCCAACAAAGUCGGUUGAACAACUAGGGCGGCAAGAAUAGCCGGUACAUCUGGAGCUACUACCUCAAGAUCAAACUGCCGCAUUUCAUUCUGCAACGACGGUUGAUGCGUGAUCAUCAUAGCCAGGUUCUCCACUGACUUCCUACUCAAUGCAUCCGCGACCACAUUCGCCUUUCCUGGGUGGUAUAGAAUAUUAACGUCAUAAUCUUUCAACAAUUCUAACCACCGGCGUUGUCGCAUAUUCAGCUCUUUCUGGGUGAAUAAAUACUUCAGGCUCUUGUGGUCAGUAUAAAUCUCACAAUGCUCGCCAUAAAGAUAAUGUCUCCACAACUUCAGUGCGAAGAUCACCGCCGCCAGUUCCAAAUCAUGAAUAGGAUAAUUCUUUUCAUAGUUCUUCAGCUGGCGAGACGCAUAAGCAAUCACUCGACCACCCUGCAUAAGCACACACCCAAGCCCACUGUAGGAAGCGUCGCUAUAAACCACAUAACUCUCCCCUGAAACCGGCAAUGCAAGAAUAGGCGCCGAAGUCAACCUUUCUUUUAAGUCCCGAAAGCUUCGAUCACAUUCUUCACUCCAAACAUACUUAACUCCUUUAUGUGUCAGGCGCGUUAGUGGAGUAGUAAUCUUCGCGAAUCCCUCCACGAACCGCCUAUAGUACCCUGCUAAUCCAAGGAAACUGCGGAUCUCCACAACUGUCGUAGGGCGAGGCCAAUCUUUAAUUGCCUCCACUUUCUUUGGGUCGACAGAAACACCACCCUCAGAAAUCACGUGCCCUAGAAAUGCCACCUCUCGUAGCCAGAAUUCACAUUUCUUCAAUUUCGCAUACAGCUGAUGCUCCCGCAGAAUCUGCAUCACUGUUCUCAAGUGUUUCUCGUGCUCUUCAUUGCUUCGGGAAAAGAUUAGAAUAUCAUCUAUGAACACCACUACACACUGAUCCAACAACGGCUUAAAAACCCUGUUCAUCAGAUCCAUGAACGCUGCCGGGGCGUUGGUAAGCCCAAACGGCAUCACUGUGAACUCGUAAUGCCCAUAACGAGUGCGAAACGCUGUCUUAUGCACAUCCUCUGGUUUGAUCUUCAAUUGGUGGUAACCCGAUUGAAGAUCAAUCUUCGAAUACACCCGUGAACCUUGCAACUGAUCAAAUAAGUCAUCGAUUCGCGGCAACGGAUAUUUAUUCUUGAUCGUGACCUUGUUCAGUUCACGGUAAUCGACACACAGUCGAAGCGUUCCGUCUUUCUUCUUCACAAACAAAACAGGAGCUCCCCAGGGUGAUACACUAGGCUUCACAAAGCCUUUAUCCAUCAAAUCCUGCAACUGAGCUUUCAGUUCUCUCAACUCAGCUGGUGCCAUUCUGUACGGAGCCUUCGAAAUUGGCGCCGUUCCGGAAACCAAGUCAAUAACGAACUCAAUUUCCCGAUCCGGCGGCAAUCCCGGCAGCUCCGCAGGAAAUACAUCAGGAAACUCUCGAACCACUGGAAUAUCUCCAAGCGCUGGAAGUUCCUUCUGAGUCUCCACCACUGUUGCCAAAUAGGCUACACAUCCUCUACUAAUCAACUUUCUCGCCCUCGUAGUCGAUACAGUUAGUGCAAAGAGCGAACUCUUGCAUCCUCGAUAUACAACCUCCUUCUGCUCAGGUUCACGAAAAGUAAUAAUUUUACUUUCGCAAUCAAUUGUGGCAUAGUACUUUGUAAGCCAAUCCAUCCCAAGGAUUAUAUCAAAACCUUUCAUUAGCUUCAACACUAACAAAUCAGCUGGCAUAAUCCAAUCUCCAAUCUGUACUGGACACGCCGCACAUUCCUCGUGAACACUAAACGUGUGCUCAGGAGCAUAGACCCACCAGGCAUCUGGUCUAUCCGAAAUCUCAAAAUCAUGUGUUCUAGCAAAUGAACUACUAAUAAAGGAAUGAGAUGCACCGGUAUCAAACAAUGUGCGAGAUCUAAUGCCAUAAAGUAAAGUAAUACCUGCCACGACAUCGUCGACCACGGCAGGAUCCUCAGCCUGAGCUGCAAAUACUCGUCCACUCUGUGCAGGUCGAGACGCCUCAGUCCUGGUACUCGGUGCAGGUCGGGGUGGCUCAUACUGACGCGACGCAAAAGAACGUCCAGCUGACAUAGCGGGUGGGGGACCCGCACGCUGCCUCGCAGAAGACUGAGCGGAAGCUGUAGACUGCGCGGAUGAUGCUCCCCUCGGGCAAUCACGAACCAUAUGUCCCGGCUGUCCACACUUAAAACAUUUACCAUCCCGCUGUGGACAAGUCGUCACUCGAUGGUUCCCGCCACAAAUGACACACCUCUGGGGUCCCUGAUACCUCUGCUGUGGCCGUGGAUACCGAGGGGGCCGUUUGGAGCUCGACUGUCCCCCGGCACUAGUAGUCCUUUUCUUUCCCUUUUCUCUUUCUCGCUCUCGAUCAAACGACUCGCGUUCCUCACGCGCAAUCGCAUUGCUGCGCUCCACCCAAAGAGCUCGAUCCAGGACUUCCUCAAAUGACUUUAACUUAGAGCACUAAUGAUCCUGAAUAUUUCAGGCCGUAAUCCCCGCUCAAAGUAGUCAGCUCUAUCUCGAUCUGUAUGCACCAUUCCGGGUACACAGUUUACUAAAUGUGUAAACUCCCGCUCGUAUUCCCGUACCGAACGGUUUCCCUGUCUUAACUUUCGAAAGUCUUCUUUCAUUUUCCUUCUGUCACUAUCAGGGAAGUACUCUGCAAACAGGAUCUCUCUGAACUCAUCCCAGGAAAGCAAGGAGGGAUUUAGAACUCGGCUUUUCUUCGCUUUUUGCCACCAAAUCUGCGCAUCCUUCUCAAAGCAAUGUGCAGCUAAAUGAACCUUGUCCUUUUCCAAUGUAUAGAUAUCCUCAAACAGAGCUUCCAUCGCUGUGAACCAGGUCUCCAACACCCAAGGAUCGGCCUCCUUUCCAUCAAACAUUGGCGGAUUAAACCGCAAGAACGCCGUCAACACUGAUAAGGAUCGCUCGUGCUCGGCCCUCAACGCGGCCGAAUCAGAACUAGAAGGCCCUGAGACCACUGGGGGAACCAUCACUGGAGGAGGGGGCACUAUCACUGGCGGAUCAGGUAUAGGCGCAUCCUGACUCCCAGAUGCUGCAGUUGUCGCCUGUUGCGACACUAGGUCCUGUAAUCUCUUAAUGUUCUCCUCCUGCCUCUGCAUAGAUCCAACCAACGCGCUCACCUGAGCGCGCAGCUCCUGAACCUCGCUAGAUCCCUCCUGAUCUGGCACCCCAGGAGGUGAUGCCGGAGCGGAUCUCGUCGCACGCCGUGGCGGCAUUUCUCCUGAAACGAACUAUUCACAUUAGUAAACAAAACCAAUCAGGCGAAAGCAAUCAAGUGUAUUUAUACUCAACUCUUAGCUUUAUGUUGUUGGCCACCCAACAUAACUCUUUUAGUUGUGUAUAAACAACACUUGGAUCAGCCCCUAAUUCACAUUAGAGACUUACUAACAACUAACCCAAUUCAUUCAGCUUUCGCUAUCAUUAGAUUCACGCCACUCGCGUUCCUAGUUCCUAGGUUUCCAUUCCUAAGUCCCCUAGGUCACUCUAGAUUUUUUACUGUCACUUGCUCUGAUACCACUUUAUCUGUCACGUCCCGCUAUCGCCAAUUUGGUCGAUCCGGGCCCGUACACAGACGCCGAACGAACAGCACCUCCCCUGUUCGUCCAAGGCUAAACCACAACGAGUACAUGUAUAAAGAAAUAAACAAUUCCCAAGAUCACAUUUCAGUAUACAUGGCUUGCACGAAGGCAAGCAACAAUCACAAGUGAUAGUAAAGCUAGCUAAACAUGAAAAUCACUGUAAUUUAAAACUUUCAAACUGAACUUUGCAUAACUGAGUAUGAAAGCAUUUAGUUAUUUACAUAUUCUAUAAUACAUGCAUUUACAUGUCUCUGUACAUCAAACUAGAUGAUACAUGAAGCCAAAAUGGUAAACUACUAGAACUCUGGUGUCAGCUAGCUAAGCUGCGGGGCCCUUGCCGCGAUCCAUGGCCACAACGCUCGCACUGGAACCUGUAUGGUUAGUGGUGUGAGAACUACAAGAAAGUUCCCAGUGGGUUCGGCCACCGACCUCGCCGACUCACCCACUAGGUCUAUUCAGGCAUAUGUAGGCAAGAAAAGUAACACAGAUAGUAACCAACUGUACAUGUAACUACUACAAUGCCUGUACAAGCUGAAAGAAAGCAAUAUAGGAAAACUGUAAAUAUGCAUGCAUGCUUUUAUUGAAUUUACCCAAUUCACUGGUUAACCCUUGGUUAACAAUAACUCACUGACACUAUCCCAGACAUCGGGGAGACGCAACCUGCACCCGACGGGACUGUCAACUGGGGGAGACGCAACCUCCUGGUCCAGUAAAGAUGACUACUCUGGAGCUCAUCGUUCAAGGAGGAGCGACCUACCUUGAACCAAAUGAAUGUGAGUAUGAUCUGAUCCCCCUUUAGAGGAUUCAACUGACAAACAUUGUCACACUUUACUCUAACUAGUUCUUUAUACUAGUUUCACAAUUCCAUUUCUCGAUGCUAACCAAUCUCUAGUUGAAUGUCACCAAGUUCACUAUUGUUAUAGUCCAAGCAUUCAUAGGGUUCUAUGUCCAUAUUCUAAAGUUCACAAAUUCUCACUGUUGACAGAAAUUCAUACUUUCAUUUGCACAAUGCCAAUACCCUAUAAUGCAUGACUACAUUACAAUUAUGCUCAAUGAAUAAUCAUAGACAUAAAAGGUGAUUCAAAGACUUCGGAUAGCACCACCCACCUGUAGUGGUGUCGCAAAUCAAAUCUCACAUCUCGAAGUGAAUCCACGAGGGUAUCUCACGACUAGAAGCAAAUAGAGCCAAAAUGGCUUCUAUCGUAGUUAGUGCGUCACCGACCUGUCGGAAAGUCAAUUUAGACUUUUGGGCAAGUUUAACCUUUAUUUAUAAAGUAACAAACGAGACUAAACUAGAGUCAUUCUUCAUAUUUUACAAGUUAGCAUUUCGAUGCCACUUAAAGUGUCAACUUAAGGUUAAUUUCAGCAUUAAGCUGAAUUCUUGCUUCUAGUUGAAUUCAUGCUGAAAUCUGCUCCAUUUGCAAUCACUUCAGCAUUCUAACAAUUUAAACUUAAUCCCAAUCAUAAUCUCUUUAUAUUUAUGUUCAUUUGCUGCUCAACUCAUCUGAUCUCAGCUCCAACAGUAAUGCUUUCCAAUGCUGAAAUCCUGCGCUAGCUGAAAUUUCAGCACUUUGCUUCUGUUAGUGUAGCCACUAUAAGCAAAGAACAAUUAGUUCUAUCAUUAGUGCUUUCCUUGGAGUAUUACUGCUGAUCUAGGAGUUAACAUUAAUCUUAUUUAAGAUUAAAACUCAACUAAGUUUUAUUUCAGCUCUCAUAAUUAAGGUCAUGCUGAGCUUCGUCUCAUUUUAAUAACAAGUGCUGAAAUUCAGUUCAUGCUGAAUUUUCUGCAUUCGUACUUUACAAUUUACCUAGAAGUUACCUUUAUAACACUUCACAUCACCCACUCUAAAUACAGGUAUUAUGCUUACACAAAUUAGAACUUCUCUAAGUUGUUCUCAGCUCUUUAGAGCUUCUUUCAGCUGAUUUCCUGAAUCAGCAUCUCCAAUAGGCCCAAUUAGAUCCUAUUUUCAUGCAAUUAACUUGUCUAUAAUUACCAUUAGCACAAUUUUACCUUAAUUAGGUAUACUGCCAGGGAGAUCUUAGCUUCAACUCUCAACUUGAUGCUGAAUUACUUGUUCACUGCAUCAAAUAAUCCAGCCCUUCAUGUCGACAACACCAUUAACCCCAAUUCCUUCCAUUCGACAGCCUCAAUAAGCCAAGCCCCAAAUUCUGUCACUCCCUGCUUUAUCAUCAGCAACAGAGUUGCUUACAACUCUCUUUAAAGUAGGUAGCUUAAUUCUAAUCAAAUAUAAACCCCACUUACUUUAAUGUAAGCUUCCACCAGAUUGUUCUCAGCUCAAAAGACCCAAGCUUCUUGCUUGAUAGCUCCAACAGCAGGGAUAUCUUCCUUCAGUUGCUUUUCUUGCUCGAACAACCUCACAGCAUCAAUACCCAAUUCCUAAAUCCAAAGCUUUCUCAAGAUUUCGCAGCUCCCAAUUUCUUCUCCUCAGCUGGAAUUAAACCAAUUUCCUGCU